GACGAACGCUGGCGGCGUGCCUAAUACAUGCAAGUAGAACGCUGAAGGAGGAGCUUGCUCUUCUGGAUGAGUUGCGAACGGGUGAGUAACGCGUAGGUAACCUGCCUGGUAGCGGGGGAUAACUAUUGGAAACGAUAGCUAAUACCGCAUAACAGUAGAUGUUGCAUGACAUUUACUUAAAAGGUGCAAUUGCAUCACUACCAGAUGGACCUGCGUUGUAUUAGCUAGUUGGUGGGGUAACGGCUCACCAAGGCGACGAUACAUAGCCGACCGGAGAGGGGGCUCGGCCACACUGGGACUGAGACACGGCCCAGACUCCUACGGGAGGCAGCAGUAGGGAAUCUUCGGCAAUGGCCGGAAGUCUGACCGAGCAACGCCGCGUGAGUGAAGAAGGUUUUCGGAUCGUAAAGCUCUGUUGUAAGAGAAGAACGAGUGUGAGAGUGGAAAGUUCACACUGUGACGGUAUCUUACCAGAAAGGGACGGCUAACUACGUG
RNAcentral lists this ribosomal RNA (495 nucleotides) under uncultured bacterium. RNAcentral's name for it is "partial 16S ribosomal RNA". It matches the Rfam family "Bacterial small subunit ribosomal RNA", at positions 28 to 507 of the family's 1533-position model. The record is from RNAcentral.